This is a long non-coding RNA of Amborella trichopoda, 714 nucleotides long. RefSeq lists it as uncharacterized. The record is from RefSeq and is a predicted model, not a curated record. NCBI's taxonomy places the organism in Eukaryota, Viridiplantae, Streptophyta, Magnoliopsida, Amborellales, Amborellaceae.
CCGUAUGGAAAAGACCAUUAUGGAAAAAUGCGUUUUCACGACUGAGAGCAGCCGGUUUUCCGUCAUCAAUGAAUUUUCUGAGGUUUACAGGAAAAUCUAUUUCAGAGCAACUCCAUUUGGUGGAGAGGCUUCUUAUUACCUCUUCCGAGAAUUGGUGAAUCAUCACUAAUGGCACAAACUCACCCACUAUCGUCAUGGGUGUAUCAGGAAGCCAUCACAGCUUAUUCAAAUUGAAUCAAUGAUUCAUGAUCACAUAUGUGUAAUCAGGAAGAGGGGAAGGAACUGUAAUUGUCGAUAAUGAACCAUUUUUUGUUACAUACAGUUGUUAUGGACUGCUGCUCAUUUAUACUCCACUGUGUUUCAAGGGAUUCCUGAUUCUCAGCUCCAUGAAAAUGGUAUUAUUGACGUAAAGCUCUAAACUUUCCUUUGUCGAAAACCCACGUCUAGUUAAGUUGGAUAGAAGAAAAGGGAUGCAAAUCCUAUGUCAACUUAUCUACCAGAAAUACAACAGUUGCGCCACCUCAUUGGAUUGAGAUUGGAUUGUUGUGUGUUUUAUAAUCCAUGACAGGGAUGUUUAUUGUGAUAUGUGAGAAAAAUUAAAGGCCUCUGCCUCUCUGGUUUGUUCGAUUCUUGAGGCAGGAACUUGUUUGGUUGUAGUUUAUUUCAUGGUGCGUGCAAAGGCUUAGUGAAUAAUGGAAAAACUGAUUGAUGCUA